RNAcentral lists this long non-coding RNA (834 nucleotides) under Zostera marina. RNAcentral's name for it is "long non-coding RNA (ZMAR_LNC004315)". Lineage: Eukaryota; Viridiplantae; Streptophyta; Magnoliopsida; Alismatales; Zosteraceae. The record is from RNAcentral.
CAGGGGAAAUGCUGAAAUCGAUCGUCGAAACACUGUCGACAGUGUUAACACUCUGUCUACACUGUCGGUCUCCUGAUCCCCCUGCGGGAAAAUUACAAACGCAGAGUGAGAUCUCGAUUGUGGCCACCGCUCUUGUUGAAAUCUAGAUUACUCAUCCAACGUUGUUUUAAUCAUGUACUUUUUACAGAGUUUCUUCUUCUCUCUUUUAUUGCAUGACGAACACGAUUUGCUAAAAAGUAAUAGUAGGUGUCAAGCCUUCCUCUAACUAAUUUCCCCCCUUCUUUUCUUCUUCUUCUUCUUCCAAUUACAAUUUUGAAAAAUAAACGUCCUUUUUUGUUAAUUACCAUUUAAUUGCAUUUACUAAUUUCUAAAAUAUAUUCUGAUGUCAUCCCUAUUUUCAUCCGGAGAUUCACGGAGGAGAGGAGAAGUCAAGUAGAUGCCUCCGAUAUGGGCAAGAUGUACCCUGACAACAGUUAUCGUCGCCCCAAAUCGAGAAUUCUCGAUGCCCCAUUUGAGAAACAAUGAUAUCAAUUGAGAAACAGUGGUUUCAACAAUGAUUUCAAACCAUGACCAUUGUUUGAAAACCAUUUUAAAAACAUUGGUUGAGACCAUUUGAGGAACAAUGAUUUCAAACAAAUCUGGAAUAAUGAUUUCAACGGUACGAACCAAUUAUGAAACAAUUCAGAACGUUAAUUGGAACCAUUUAUGGAACAACGAUAUGAACCAAUUCAGAAAGAACAGUUUGAACAUUGUUUGAAACCAUUUGAAAAACAAGGGUAUCACCCAAUUGAAGAACAAUGGUUUCGACAUUUCAGGACCAUUGGUUGAAACCAU